AAAGUUUGCUCUGGGCAGCAGAACUGGCUGAGGCGAACCAGACAGAAACUGGAAUCAGUUCUAAGAGAACUGGUCUUGUCUUCCGCCUUAGACGACAAGCUGAUGAAAGUCCGAAUCCGGCUUUCAGACUUCAGAAGGGCAGCCUUCCACAUCACUGGCUGUGAGGGUACAGAAAUGCCCUCCACCGCAGCAGGAGACCCCUGAGUAGCCGCGAGACCAGGAGAGCCUCGAAGUCGGGGCGCGGGCUUGCACUGGAGGGGCAGAGAUCGGGCGUUAUGGAAUGAUGGAGUUCUGGGAUCGCAGGCGCAGCUGGGCCACUCCCUCGGCAGGCUCCUGGAGCGCCACCCUGCCGAGUUUAUUUUGGUCGUCUGUUUUGAAUUUGCAGUGCUCCCUCUGUAGGAGGGUAUUUUGAGGUGCUCUGGCAAGCCGCAAGGGCUCCAAGUAGCUUUUGUUUCUGUACUCACACAGAUGAGGAGCUGAACUAAUUGAGAGAGUGACCCAAAUUUGUGAGUUUCACAAAGUAUCCCAUUUGGCCUGGAUUCCUGUAGCUUUGGAAUGCGCCUGCAUGCUCGUCCAUUUGCAAGUCUUUUCUGGAGCCCUUUGGAAAACAUCCCCAGCCACACAGAAAUCAGCAGAUAAGUGACCUUUUUCUCCAGCCAAGAAUAUGAAUGACCAUUGCUUCUGCAAGAAAGGAGACUCUUGGUCUGAUCCAGGACUUCAUAAUAGUGGAGGACUUAAAACUGUGGCUUUGGUUCUGAUUCUAUUUGGCUCACUAAACAAUUGAAACUAAAAAUGAAAAUUGAGGGCCAGGGAGGCUGGGAUCAAAGUCAACAUGCUAUAAGAACAAAAAAGCUGGAAACAGAACCAGAAAUGCUUAGGCCCAACAUGGAGAGUAGAACUCUGUUCCACAAGAGAGUUGAAAUGGAGUGAUGGAGUCAACAGUACCACGCAAGGGAGUUGUCAUGGAAACAGUCAUUUGAGAGCAGGCAAUUGGAUUUUGGAAACUGAUUAAAGCAAGUCUUGAUGGUAAAAAAAAAAAAAAAGAAAGAAAGAAAAAAGAUGAAGUCAGACAGUGAAGACGGAGUGGAGUUCCGUGCCCAUUGUGGAGACGAGAGGACACAUCAUUAUUACAAGACAGAACACGACAGACUUGAGAGGCUGAUCUGUCCAGCCAGGAUGCCUAGGAGUAAACGUUCCAGAAUUUGCCUUUUGUGGCAUCAUAGCACUCAUGACUCAGCCUGCAGAACAAUGUGAUAGGUGGGCAGACUCUCCUCAGAAAUAUUUCCAAGGAGAAUAGGUAGUGUGUCCACAUCUUUUUUUUUUUAGCAGAAAUUAUUUCCACUUAAAUAUUGAGAGGAGAGGCCAGUAAAACCAAACAUUGUUGCUGUGCUAUUUUGGUUUGAUUUCCGUGGUCCACUUUGAAUGUGGACAUGGGGGCUGUGCGGGCUCCAUAAUGGCUGAUUUCCCGGCCCUGUGCCUGAAACACAGCCUGGCAUUAAGUGAUUACAUGGACUUGUAACACUGCGCACAGUAGUGCAUGUGGAUCGGCUUCCCAUCAAUCAAUCACAGACCCUUAAAGAAGGGUCUGUGCUCUGGGAGUGCACAUGUGGCUAUGAAAGUUUUCCAAAGAGGAAAAGCAGAGAGUGAGCCAGAGGAAAGAAAGGAUUCUUUCAGCCUCGCAGAGGCGCUCUGAGGGGAAGGUGGAUGGGGCAUAGGUGUGAGAGGGUCAGCCUCCCUGAAGUACGAGGGAGAGCUUCAGCAGUAAACAAACCCCUUAAAAAUGCUGCGAGUGAGGAGAGGGAAGUGACCACAGUUCAGUGUGUCACAGGCCACGGGCGGACAAUGUCAGGAAUCUGGAGGUCUGCCACUGAUUGCUUUAGACCAGCGUCAAGCUUACAUGACGCAGCACGUGCGCUUGUGACCUCGCAUCUCAGGGAGCCGGUACAAGGACCGGGGGUGAAGCUAUAGAACGGAGAAGCGCUUCAGCAAGUUGAAAUGGCAUUUACUGGCUUAAUGCGCUGGCAAGCUGGCUACAAGGAGGGGCACAUGCUGGCGUGUCAAAUUCAGACUGGAAGUAAAAGAGAAGAGGUUAAAGAGCUGAGACAAUGAGGCAAAACCAGGGUGGGUCCCACACUUCGAUUACACCUCAACCAGGAAUAUGGGAUAAGCCUUUAGUGGCUGGCGUUGGUUGGGGCUGAAGGUGAGCGAAGAACUGCAGUUCCCAGGCAGUAGCGAGUGUCGGAGCUUUCCAGCAGGCGGCCCAGCUUACAGCACCACCUCAGGGGGCAGGGGUCAAAGGCUGAGAGCUGGCCAGCCAGGGGAACUUCGGAAAGGCCCUGUGUCUCGGCCAAGCGGGCUAUGUUCCGCCACUAGGAUCUACUUCUUGAAAAGAUUCAAAAUCCACCUCAGGAUCAGAAGCACGGACAGCUUUGGAGGGCUGGCGAGGCCGCCGGCAGGCCGUGUCCAGCUUAAGCUCAUUUCCUAGUCACCGUGUACCUGACUUGGUAAACUGGCAAUAUUUCCAGCAGAAAUUACUGAGCGCCAGGAUUGCCAGUCUCAGGUGUGCGUUGAUUUGCACCGCUGACCACAUGCCUGGCGGAAGGCGCCGGAGGGAAGGCUGGCCUCAGGGCUGCAGCCCAGCGCGCGGAGAGCAGAGGGCGGCAGCCCGGAUCACCGUGGCGGCCCCACCUCGGAACGCCCCGCGGCCCCGGGACAGCGCCACCUGCUGGAGUCCCGAGAGCCUGAACCUGGCGGGACCGGAACAGAGGAGCUAGAAACACAGGCCCCUGAGGGCUGCGUUUUAAACCCGGGGCGGCUUACAGAUACGACCUGUUGAUUUAUGAAAUUUAAAGUAAUAAUUAACAAGCGAAUUUGGGAGCGCAGACGGGGCGUGGCGGGACAGCAGGGGUCUGGGUGCUGGCGCGGCCCAGCAGGCCGCUCCCGGAGGCCCGCCGGCCCGCAGGCCCGGAAGCAGCAGCCCUGCCCUCAGCCGCAGGAACAAUGAGCUGUCUGUCUCCUCCUCUACCUCCAGCUCUCCCCGGGGGCUUCUCGCUGGCAGAAUCUAGGCGGGAACUCUGGCAGGGUUUCUGGGAAAUUUCGUUUCCAGAUGUUGCAGCCCGCGUGAGUCAGAGGGGACACGUGGCCGCGGGGCCUCAGUGAAAGGCAUCAAUUAUAGGGUGAUGUCGGGGAAGGUGAGGGCCAGAGCGGGAAGGGAGCUGGAUGAGGCUGCGCGUGGUCGGAAGGGGUGUGGGGAAGCCAAGUCUGAGGGGUUUGUAGCUGUAGCACAUGUGGGGGCAACACUGGCUCCUGUGGAUGGAGGGACUGGCAGACAGGCAGAGUGACUGGAAUGUUACAGCCUCUGAGUGUGCCAGGAGCCUCUUCGUUUUAAAACUCUCAGUCAGACACACCUAGAAAAUGAAAGUACCACGGAUGGGGCAAAGACAAUCUGAAGAAAGAGCUAUAGCACGCCGUCCCUCUUGGGCUGAUAGUGUUCUGUGACUCAAGCAUUCUCCCAGACUAGGAAAAUGAAAACAGAAUCUGGACAAGUGUGUUAGAAUUACACUUACAAGGCAGAGCUGUGGGAGGGGUUAAACAGGAAGUAGACGGGGCUUGAAGUGACUGGCAGGCAGAAGGCUGGAGCAAGCAGGCCUCCACAACCUGUCACGUGGGCAACCUUGUGAGCUGGCCACAUGAACUGAGACACAGGCAGAACAAGCCGGAGCGUGAGCGUGUUCUGGAUGCGUUCAGUGUUAGGACGUCAGGGAUGAAGAUGAAGGUGAGGGUGGUGGUCCCUGUCCCUGCUGACCCCAGGUGGCCUUCACACGCCAAGGGAACUAAGAACACGUGUGAGUUUGCAGCCGCCGAUAGGACCAACAUCUCGAAAAAGCGUUUCCCGUCUUAUUCCCCAACAGAGCUGGAUGCCUGAAAUCCGACUGCUAGCUUUUAGUUAGCGUUCUCAGACUUCGGUGCAGCCUGCCCGCCUGCAGGGUGACUAAGCCCGUGACUUUUUACCCUCAAGACCAACAGGGCGCUUACCCACAGCAGCGCCGCCGCUCUGUGCUCAGAGCCCACGUGCCUUUCCCUGUGGAGAUGUCAACCAAUAUCACCCCAGAUGGGGUGCCAGUGAUAGCCUGACAAACCAAGGGAUUUGUUAGGGUUCCAUACAGAAUCAUGGGCAAGGGUGGCUUGAAAGAAAACGAGCGGCUUACCAGCAGCCGCUGUAUCCCCAAAACGACCUACCAGAGCUGCAUCCGUGGACUGCCUGCCCCACUCAGUCUCAUCUUCCCCAGCAGCUGCUUAUUGCUCACACAACCUGGAACAGGGCCUGCUGAUGCAGACUUCUGCUGUCCACCCGACAGAGCCCGGAGUCCUCUCGGGGAGACACCACUGGGGACAGAUCAGAUUGGCCGGUGGCCAUGCCUGUGAGGAAGCUUGACUGUGGAUUGCUGUGAAUUGCUGUCAGAGGGCACAGUCCCCUGAGGGCGGUGACAUUCUCUGGCAGAUGGUCCUGGUCUGUAUAAGAUAGUGCUGAGAACGAGGAAGAGGUUACCCUGGCCUUCAGUGCUCCUCCCUGCAGUGGUUUUUGCUCUAGAUUCCUGCCUCAAGUUCCUGCACUGACUUCCUUCUACCUGAACAAGGAAGUUGAGGCAAACACUUCCCUCCCCCGAGCUGCUUUUGGUCAUGGCAUUUAUUACAGCAACAUAAUGGAAAUGAGAGCAGGGCCAAGUCUCUGCGUCCUGCUGGGCUUCCAGGGCCUGCUAAGGCUCAUGGGUUUGUUGUGCCUUGCAGGUUUUGCUGGGAGUCUUAAGAGCCCCUGUCCUCCCUCACGGCUACAGGAGGGCAUGUUUCAGUUCUGAGGAAAGAGCCACACAAUAGACCAUAGUGCCCACGAGGAAUCCAGCUAGAAGAAUCACUGGGUCCCACAUGCAGAGCUGAUGGUCAGAGAGACUCAAGCUAUCCAAGAAUCUGGAGAACUUGCUAUGACUUACGUCUUAGAAGAUGUAGGCUCCCUUACUGCUUUAUCGUUUUUUUCUUUUAUUUAACAACUUGAUUGUUGAAACCUCAGGAAACUCUAAGCCUAUUUCUUCCAUCAAAAUGAAAGGAACUCAUUGAUGAAAUCAGGAACCCAUUAAGAUUGAGUGGUACAUUUCCAUUAAGCCAUGAUUUACAUUAUAGAACAGUUUAAAAAAAAUGGAAGCACUCUCUUGGAGAGGAAAUGUAUAAUAAAGACUCUUUUAGGGCUCUCUGAACUAAGACAGACUAAUAUUCCUCCAAGCACAGAGAAAACAAGGGACAGGGAAAGUUAUUGACUGAGCCAAGCAGGACUGAAUACCUGCAGCCGGAGAACGGGUGACUCAUCACUUAGAUCUGUGUAGACAGCUGAAGCCAGAGAACAUCAGAGAGACACUUCUAUAAAGGACCCUGACGGGGCAAGGGCUCACGCUGCUGGGUGGCUGCAGAGGCCGGCACCCAAGUACAUGUGGGCCAUUAUCGCCACGUUAAUGGAGUUGCUGAGAAGCCCAGCUAAAAGCCUGCCUCUGAGUGGAUGAAAAUGUUGCUCAUCUCAACCUUUCCCAAAACGUUUGAGAAAACAGUCCUGUGAGAAGAACUAUACCAUGCAGCUUCCAGGAAUGAUCAAAGAAUGCUGAAGUAAAUCCUGAAUCAGUAGUGCACAGAGAUCAGGGGGAUGCUGGGGGCAUCGCCUCCUCUUGUUGGUGCAUUAUUUACUUAGACAAGAAUCAAGACCUUUGGCCAACAAAGGUUGCAUUAAAGGACUGGAACACCUCAGGAAUUAUGUUUGAGGAAACAGGACAGAGAAAUGAGCAAGAAAAUGAUCAGCACUCAUUUCCCCCAAAGGGGUCACUAAUGUAGGAGAGGCAGGAAUCAGUGGUGCCGUUCCUUCCCAAUUUCCCACUCAGUGACUUCAUAGGAGGUUGAAACUGGCCACAGAGGGAAUGUUUACACUGUCAAAACUGACAGAUGUCACAAAUCUGGGUGGCCUUUUGGUUUUGCUUUUGUUAUUUUUUUUCCCUAGAAAGUAUAUUAUUAAAUAUUUAUCAGUA
Meriones unguiculatus (Mongolian gerbil) is the source of this 6062-nucleotide long non-coding RNA. RefSeq lists it as uncharacterized. The record is from RefSeq and is a predicted model, not a curated record. NCBI's taxonomy places the organism in Eukaryota, Metazoa, Chordata, Mammalia, Rodentia, Muridae. The transcript is spliced from 2 exons.